ACUCAAAGGAAUUGACGGGGGCCCGCACAAGCGGCGGAGCAUGCGGAUUAAUUCGAUGCAACGCGAAGAACCUUACCUGGGUUUGACAUACGCCGGAAAGCUCUAGAGAUAGAGCCCCUUUUAGUCGGUGUACAGGUGGUGCAUGGCUGUCGUCAGCUCGUGUCGUGAGAUGUUGGGUUAAGUCCCGCAACGAGCGCAACCCUCGUUCCAUGUUGCCAGCAGCAUUCCCUGCCCUUUGGGUGAUGGGGUGGCUGGGGACUCAUGGGAGACUGCCGGGGUCAACUCGGAGGAAGGUGGGGAUGACGUCAAGUCAUCAUGCCCCUUAUGUCCAGGGCUUCACGCAUGCUACAAUGGCCGGUACAAAGGGCUGCGAUCCCGUGAGGGGGAGCGAAUCCCAAAAAGCCGGUCUCAGUUCGGAUUGGGGUCUGCAACUCGACCCCAUGAAGUCGGAGUCGCUAGUAAUCGCAGAUCAGCAACGCUGCGGUGAAUACGUUCCCGGGCCUUGCACACACCGCCCGU
Molecule: ribosomal RNA, 519 nt
Filed under: uncultured bacterium
Lineage: Bacteria
Description: partial 16S ribosomal RNA
Rfam family: Bacterial small subunit ribosomal RNA
Source: RNAcentral